This 690-nucleotide ribosomal RNA is filed under the name Salmonella sp. Trautman ave_2007_18. RNAcentral's name for it is "bacterial SSU rRNA". It matches the Rfam family "Bacterial small subunit ribosomal RNA", at positions 43 to 722 of the family's 1533-position model. Lineage: Bacteria; Pseudomonadati; Pseudomonadota; Gammaproteobacteria; Enterobacterales; Enterobacteriaceae. The record is from RNAcentral.
CAGGCAUAACACAUGCAAAUCGAACGGUAACAGGAAGCAGCUUGCUGCUUCGCUGACGAGUGGCGGACGGGUGAGUAAUGUCUGGGAAACUGCCUGAUGGAGGGGGAUAACUACUGGAAACGGUGGCUAAUACCGCAUAACGUCGCAAGACCAAAGAGGGGGACCUUCGGGCCUCUUGCCAUCAGAUGUGCCCAGAUGGGAUUAGCUUGUUGGUGAGGUAACGGCUCACCAAGGCGACGAUCCCUAGCUGGUCUGAGAGGAUGACCAGCCACACUGGAACUGAGACACGGUCCAGACUCCUACGGGAGGCAGCAGUGGGGAAUAUUGCACAAUGGGCGCAAGCCUGAUGCAGCCAUGCCGCGUGUAUGAAGAAGGCCUUCGGGUUGUAAAGUACUUUCAGCGGGGAGGAAGGUGUUGUGGUUAAUAACCGCAGCAAUUGACGUUACCCGCAGAAGAAGCACCGGCUAACUCCGUGCCAGCAGCCGCGGUAAUACGGAGGGUGCAAGCGUUAAUCGGAAUUACUGGGCGUAAAGCGCACGCAGGCGGUCUGUCAAGUCGGAUGUGAAAUCCCCGGGCUCAACCUGGGAACUGCAUUCGAAACUGGCAGGCUUGAGUCUUGUAGAGGGGGGUAGAAUUCCAGGUGUAGCGGUGAAAUGCGUAGAGAUCUGGAGGAAUACCGGUGGCGAAGGG